AGAAUCAACGCUGGCGGCGUGCCUCAGACAUGCAAGUCGAACGCGAAAGUCCCCUUCGGGAGACGAGUAGAGUGGCGCACGGGUGAGUAACACGUAGGUAAUCUACCUUUGGAUGGGGAAUAACAAUCGGAAACGGUUGCUAAUACCGACAUAAUGCAGCGGCACCUAAGUGGUAGACAGUUGUUAAAGCGGGGGAUCGAAAGACCUCGCGUCUGAAGAGGAGCCUGCGGCGGAUUAGCUAGUUGGUAAGGUAACGGCUUACCAAGGCGACGAUCCGUAGCCCGGCCUGAGAGGCGGUCGGCACGCUGACACUGACAUACGGUCAGACUCGACGG
This 335-nucleotide ribosomal RNA is filed under the name uncultured soil bacterium. RNAcentral's name for it is "bacterial SSU rRNA". It matches the Rfam family "Bacterial small subunit ribosomal RNA", at positions 26 to 344 of the family's 1533-position model. The record is from RNAcentral.